Molecule: ribosomal RNA, 353 nt
Filed under: Bartonella sp. A165
Lineage: Bacteria; Pseudomonadati; Pseudomonadota; Alphaproteobacteria; Hyphomicrobiales; Bartonellaceae
Description: bacterial SSU rRNA
Rfam family: Bacterial small subunit ribosomal RNA
Source: RNAcentral
AGUCGAGCGCACUCUUUUAGAGUGAGCGGCAAACGGGUGAGUAACGCGUGGGAAUCUACCCAUCUCUACGGAAUAACACAGAGAAAUUUGUGCUAAUACCGUAUACGUCCCUUCGGGGAGAAAGAUUUAUCGGAGAUGGAUGAGCCCGCGUUGGAUUAGCUAGUUGGUGAGGUAAUGGCUCACCAAGGCGACGAUCCAUAGCUGGUCUGAGAGGAUGAUCAGCCACACUGGGACUGAGACACGGCCCAGACUCCUACGGGAGGCAGCAGUGGGGAAUAUUGGACAAUGGGGGCAACCCUGAUCCAGCCAUGCCGCGUGAGUGAUGAAGGCCCUAGGGUUGUAAAGCUCUUUCA